GGGGAGGAGAAGACCAGGGGAAGGCUGCCCAUUGGGCGGCUCUCCACCCGGCCAGACUGGGCCAGACUGGGAUCCCAGGCGCAGGGCGCGGAGCAACCCCCCCGCCCCGCCCCCACUCCCUGGCUGGCGAGGGCUCGGGGCGCUCAUUGUGCAGGCAGCUGGCACCAGCUGGGAAGGGGAAUUAGCAUAACAAAGAGCCGGAGCGAGCGCCGCGCGGCCCGGCGGGGGCUCUGCGGAGCGCCCCGGGCUCGGAGAAGCCGCGCUGUCACCGACAGCAGCACGCCCCAGGCCGCCCGGCCGGAGACCCUGGAGCUGCGGGGCCGGCCCCCAUCGUGGGCGUCCGCACCAGCACCGGGUCUGCUUGGGUCCCAGCCGCCGGGCUCGCCCGGAGAAAACAGUGGAAAGCACCCAGGCCCCGGCCCCACCCCAGAGACUCGCGAGUAAUUGGCGCCUGCUGGGCUCUCCAGCGCCGUAUUUCUUAGCCGCCCGCGCUGAUUCCGACCUGCGGCGGAGGCGAGAACCGCGGCGCCGGGUGCUGACCAGCAGCCGCUAGCGCCCAAGGAAGACCCAAGGAGAGGCCGCCGGGCCUUGGAGCUUUUCCUUGUCCUUCCUUGGCUGAGGUCAACUGCGCAUUCUUCCGACAGUAGCGCUUCUGUUUCGAGCCUCCAACUGGGCAACUCCACCUCCGUUCUUGUAUAAUCCUUAGAGCUGCCCCGUGGGAAGAAACUGUCCGGAAACUAAGGCUCAGCUAAGUGUCACAGAAGGUCACAAAGCUAGUAAUUCGGCCAACCGAAUUGGAGCCCACGUUCUUUCCACUGUAAUAUUUUAAAAUAAAAAAGCCACCGCUUUUUAAUGCGCUGCCAGACCUCAAGCCGACCAGGUCCCUGGAAGGACACUGGAGGGAAAGGGGGUCAGGGCGCAGCUGAACCCACGGCCUGAGAAAACAGAUACGGCCCAGAAGACGACCCUAGAAAAUGCCCGGGGUCUUUCCUCCAGCCCCGACUUCUGUGCCCAUCUUUGACUUGAGUCGCCCCUCCUCCCUCCCCUACCCCGGGGAUAGCGAAAAUGUCCUGAUCCAGCCCCUCCAGACUCCGGCUCCCAGAGCCCUUCCUGCAGGAAGGAUGAUGACGGCACCAGCCCUUCGCCAUCACCCGGGAGCUGUUGGCAGCUGCGCAGCCGGG
Molecule: long non-coding RNA, 1181 nt
Filed under: Equus caballus (horse)
Lineage: Eukaryota; Metazoa; Chordata; Mammalia; Perissodactyla; Equidae
Description: lncRNA (ENSECAG00000049204.1)
Source: RNAcentral